UGGCGACCGGCGCACGGGUGAGUAACGCGUAUCCAACCUUCCCAUGACUGGGGGAUAACCUUGCGAAAGUAAGACUAAUACCCCAUGGUUUCCGAGGCGGACAUCCAAUUUGGAAUAAAGAUUCAUCGGUCAUGGAUGGGGAUGCGUCUGAUUAGCUUGUUGGCGGGGUAACGGCCCACCAAGGCGACGAUCAGUAGGGGUUCUGAGAGGAAGGUCCCCCACAUUGGAACUGAGACACGGUCCAAACUCCUACGGGAGGCAGCAGUGAGGAAUAUUGGUCAAUGGACGAGAGUCUGAACCAGCCAAGUAGCGUGCAGGAUGACGGCCCUAUGGGUUGUAAACUGCUUUUAUACGGGAAUAAAGUCAAUCACGUGUGAUUGUUUGUAUGUACCGUAUGAAUAAGGACCGGCUAAUUCCGUGCCAGCAGCCGCGGUAAUACGGAAGGUCCGGGCGUUAUCCGGAUUUAUUGGGUUUAAAGGGAGCGUAGGCCGCCGAUUAAGCGUGUUGUGAAAUGCCGCAGCUCAACUGUGGCACUGCAGCGCGAACUGGUUGGCUUGAGUGCGCGGAAGGCAGGCGGAAUUUGUGGUGUAGCGGUGAAAUGCUUAGAUAUCACGAAGAACCCCGAUUGCGAAGGCAGCUUGCCGCAGCGUAACUGACGCUGAAGCUCGAAAGUGCGGGUAUCGAACAGGAUUAGAUACCCUGGUAGUCCGCACGGUAAACGAUGGAUGCCCGCUGUUCCGGCUAUAUGUUGGAGUGGCCAAGCGAAAGCGUUAAGCAUCCCACCUGGGGAGUACGCCGGCAACGGUGCAACUCAAAG
Molecule: ribosomal RNA, 817 nt
Filed under: uncultured Bacteroidota bacterium
Lineage: Bacteria; Pseudomonadati; Bacteroidota
Description: bacterial SSU rRNA
Rfam family: Bacterial small subunit ribosomal RNA
Source: RNAcentral